GCCCCGAUAGACCAAUCGGCAGAGUCGAUGGCCUCAAAAUCCAUUCAGUGUGGGUUCGAAUCCCACUCGGGGCA
RNAcentral lists this transfer RNA (74 nucleotides) under Nonomuraea pusilla. It matches the Rfam family "tRNA". Rfam says of the family: Transfer RNA (tRNA) molecules are approximately 80 nucleotides in length. Their secondary structure includes four short double-helical elements and three loops (D, anti-codon, and T loops). Lineage: Bacteria; Bacillati; Actinomycetota; Actinomycetes; Streptosporangiales; Streptosporangiaceae. RNAcentral also lists the same sequence under 18 other names. The record is from Rfam by way of RNAcentral.